This 62-nucleotide transfer RNA is filed under the name Symphylella sp. YG-2006. RNAcentral's name for it is "tRNA-Trp". Lineage: Eukaryota; Metazoa; Arthropoda; Symphyla; Scolopendrellidae. The record is from RNAcentral.
UAAAAUUUUAAGUUAUUUAAACUAUAAUCCUUCAAAGAUUAAAAAACAAAAAGUAAAUUUUU